UCACCCCUCAAGCCUAGCUUGGUGUUGGACGGCUUGGUGGCGGCUGAAAAGCUGCGACCCCUCCUAAAGUCAAUGACGGCGGCCUGUUGAACCCCCGGUACACUGAGCUCCUUCACAGGGCACGUAUCGGUCUAAAAGGUAACGGGAUGUCGGUCUUCUCUUCCAUUUGGGAGAAACACUUUCAG
Molecule: unclassified non-coding RNA, 185 nt
Filed under: uncultured Herpotrichiellaceae
Lineage: Eukaryota; Fungi; Ascomycota; Eurotiomycetes; Chaetothyriales; Herpotrichiellaceae
Description: sequence contains ITS2
Source: RNAcentral